UGGCUGGAGCUUGCCGGCGAUGGCGGAUGUGGAGCUUCACCACCAUCCGCAGCCCCAAACCGUGAUCCAGUUCUUCGUGAGGCUCUCGAGCUUGUAUUUUUUUCGAGUUCAUCUAAUGUUAGGGACAGUCAUCCGGGUGCAUGGGAGCAACUGCUGAUGGACGACGAGUCAAAGUGUUGUGACUGGCUGCUGCAGAUCCUCUGAUGGAGGUUCAAUGAUUGUCCUGGCGCAAGUUCAAGAGUUCAGCCUGCGUGAGUCGUCCAUCAUCUUCCCUCAUCUAGC
This is a long non-coding RNA of Triticum dicoccoides, 282 nucleotides long. RefSeq lists it as uncharacterized. The record is from RefSeq and is a predicted model, not a curated record. NCBI's taxonomy places the organism in Eukaryota, Viridiplantae, Streptophyta, Magnoliopsida, Poales, Poaceae. The transcript has 3 exons.